Molecule: unclassified non-coding RNA, 392 nt
Filed under: soil metagenome
Description: partial contains 5.8S ribosomal RNA, internal transcribed spacer 2, and large subunit ribosomal RNA
Rfam family: 5.8S ribosomal RNA (bases 1-122)
Source: RNAcentral
GAUGAAGAACGUAGCGAAAUGCGAUACUUGGUGUGAAUUGCAGAAUCCCGUGAACCAUCGAGUCUUUGAACGCAAGUUGCGCCCGAAGCCACUAGGCCGAGGGCACGCCUGCCUGGGCGUCACACGCCGUUGCCCCCCCAUCUACUCCUUCGGGAUUGCGGGGGGGCGGAUGAUGGCCUCCUGUGCGCCUAGCCGCGCGGUUGGCAUAAAUACCAAGUCCUCGGCGACGCACGCCACGACAAUCGGUGGUUGCGAAACCUCGGUUGCCCGUCGUGUGCGUUCGUCGCGCAUCGAGGGCUCGAAAAAAUGCUCGGCUCCGGCUGGGCUUUCAACGCGACCCCAGGUCAGGCGGGGUUACCCGCUGAAUUUAAGCAUAUCAAUAAGCGGGAGGA